This is a long non-coding RNA of Lolium rigidum, 1488 nucleotides long. RefSeq lists it as uncharacterized. The record is from RefSeq and is a predicted model, not a curated record. NCBI's taxonomy places the organism in Eukaryota, Viridiplantae, Streptophyta, Magnoliopsida, Poales, Poaceae. The transcript is spliced from 3 exons.
CGCCGCUUCCUCCACGAUGCGAUGGCGCCGCCUCGUUCUCCCGCCGUCUAGAUCCCCGCGGGUGCUGCCAACUACGAGAUCUACGUUCAGCGCUGCGCGAUAUGCUCUCCGACGGCGAGAAGCAGCUCCAGGCCACCUCCGUCCUCCGGUGACCUCAUCCACGGCCUUGUCCGCGACGCCGGCCAGUAGACCAUGCGUCCAGGCACUUCUCCACAGCGCCUCCGACGACUUCGUCUUCCUCCCCUUCUAGUACCAGAAGCAGAGCAACAGAGAGAGCCAAGGGGAUGGGUGCCGCAGCCUCAUCUUCUUCUUCCCUGAGGUGACUUGAGGUGCCGCAGUCAAGAGGCUCGCUCGGCAGCCAACUCUUGAUUGCCGGCCAAAGUCGAUUCUUGCUGGCCAUGGCUAUCGGAGCUGUGCUCUCCUCGAGCAGAGAAUUUGCCGCUCCCAUAUCCUCCUCCUCACCAGCAGCCGAGAGGAACCGAGGAAGGAUAUAGUGAUGGUGAAGUGGCAUUGUUUGGUCGAUGCCGGAUCCAGUAGUGGUACCAUCAAACCAUUAGCUUGCUCACAUAUCAUCUGUCAGUGUGGUAAGCUGGUGAGGGACAAGGCCAUGAUCAAUUCUGCGUUUCGGACAGUGUCCUUUUGUUUGAUUUAUUUGGUCAAGCCGGAGACGAUUGUGAGGACGGAUCUCCUGCGCGCCGCCAUCUCUUCACCAGGCACGAAGCCCCUGCGUGUGGUCGAGGCGGCCAGAGCUGCAGCUGGAUACAGUAAGGUGAAGCUUCAAACUUGGCCUCUUUACAGCUCCAGUUCAUGCAUAUAUGUGUUUGGUUAUCUUUGAAAUGCAGAAAAAAUUAAGAACAUCAAUACUCUGGAAUUGAGUUUCACCAGGUUCAUCAUCAUAUGCUGGAAUUGAGUUGAGAUCAAGUACCCUCCCCUUGAACUAAUAGUUUCUCGUAGCUCCAGCACUACCCAAGCCACGGCUGACGACAGCGAAAUUCACUGGACAUGGUAUUGGUCAUUUGCAUGUGGAUUCAGGUUUAGGUACUGGAACAUUUUCAGUGAACUGUAGGAGGGUGGGCAGAGGGCGCACUCACCGGUGCUCUGGCAUCUUGCUCUACGAGGAAGAGGGCUCGACGUCGGGGAUAGGAACCUGGCCACGGUGGCGAGGCAAGGCUGGCCGGCCGUGACGGAGAGGCAAGGCCCAAACACGAUGAGAACUUUCUUCCGCGGUGGCGGACGGUGAUGGAGUUGCUAGGUGGCGGUGCGCGUCUGCUGCAGUCCGGCGUCAGGGCGAGGGAAGCACUCCAUCGACAGACAGACCAGACGAUCGACGGCGACAAAAUUACGUAUUUGAAAUUUGAUUUCAACCCAGAUUUGAAACAAUCAUGUAUUAGGUGUUUUUUUUUGCAAAAGUGAAAAUGAACGGAGGGAGUAGGACCUAAGCUGUAGACACAGGGCUACGCUAAUUCGCCUGUCUGGUCACCCAUGAGU